GGAGGGCUCGCAUAAUGGUAUUGCAGCAGUCUUGAAAACUGCCGACCGCAAGGUCAUAAGAGUUCGAAUCCCUUGCCCUCCG
This 82-nucleotide transfer RNA is filed under the name Ignavibacteriota bacterium. RNAcentral's name for it is "Ignavibacteriae bacterium (groundwater metagenome) tRNA-Ser". It matches the Rfam family "tRNA". From Rfam's summary of the family: Transfer RNA (tRNA) molecules are approximately 80 nucleotides in length. Their secondary structure includes four short double-helical elements and three loops (D, anti-codon, and T loops). Further hydrogen bonds mediate the characteristic L-shaped molecular structure. tRNAs have two regions of fundamental functional importance: the anti-codon, which is responsible for specific mRNA codon recognition, and the 3' end, to which the tRNAs corresponding amino acid is attached (by aminoacyl-tRNA synthetases). tRNAs cope with the degeneracy of the genetic code in two manners: having more than one tRNA (with a specific anti-codon) for a particular amino acid; and 'wobble' base-pairing, i.e. permitting non-standard base-pairing at the 3rd anti-codon position. RNAcentral also lists the same sequence under 1 other name. Lineage: Bacteria; Pseudomonadati; Ignavibacteriota. The record is from RNAcentral.